RNAcentral lists this ribosomal RNA (396 nucleotides) under uncultured bacterium. RNAcentral's name for it is "partial 16S ribosomal RNA". It matches the Rfam family "Bacterial small subunit ribosomal RNA", at positions 523 to 918 of the family's 1533-position model. The record is from RNAcentral.
AUACGUAGGUGGCAAGCGUUGUCCGGAAUUAUUGGGCGUAAAGCGCAUGUAGGCGGUUUGGUAAGUCGGUCGUGAAAAUGCGGUGCUUAACGCCGUAUGGCGAUUGAAACUGCUGAACUUGAGUGCAGGAGAGGAAAGGGGAACUCCCAGUGUAGCGGUGAAAUGCGUAGAUAUUGGGAAGAACACCGGUGGCGAAGGCGCCUUUCUGGACUGUGUCUGACGCUCAGAUGCGAAAGCCAGGGUAGCGAACGGGAUUAGAUACCCCGGUAGUCCUGGCCGUAAACGAUGGGUACUAGGUGUGGGAGGUAUCGACUCCUUCCGUGCCGGAGUUAACGCAAUAAGUACCCCGCCUGGGGAGUACGGCCGCAAGGCUUAAACUCAAAUGAAUUGGCGGGG